AUUGAACGCUGGCGGAAUGCUUUACACAUGCAAGUCGAGCGGCAGCGCGGGGCAACCUGGCGGCGAGCGGCGAACGGGUGAGUAAUGUAUCGGAACGUAUCCUUAAGUGGGGGACAACUAGUCGAAAGACUAGCUAAUACCGCAUACGAUCGAGAGAUGAAAGUGGGGGACCGCAAGGCCUCACGCUUUUGGAGCGGCCGAUAUCCGAUUAGCUUGUUGGUGAGGUAAAGGCUUACCAAGGCUAUGAUCGGUAGCUGGUCUGAGAGGAUGAUCAGCCACACUGGGACUGAGACACGGCCCAGACUCCUACGGGAGGCAGCAGUGGGGAAUUUUGGACAAUGGGGGCAACCCUGAUCCAGCCAUUCCGCGUGAGUGAAGAAGGCCUUCGGGUUGUAAAGCUCUUUUGUCGGGACGAAACGGUUUCUACCUAAUACGUGAGACUACUGACGGUACCCGAACGAAUAAGCACCGGCUAACUACGUGCCAGCAGCCGCGGUAAAUCACGU
This 506-nucleotide ribosomal RNA is filed under the name uncultured bacterium. RNAcentral's name for it is "bacterial SSU rRNA". It matches the Rfam family "Bacterial small subunit ribosomal RNA", at positions 30 to 528 of the family's 1533-position model. The record is from RNAcentral.